UGUUCCCACGGGGGGCAGCAGUGAGGAAUAUUGGUCAAUGGACGAGAGCCUGAACCAGCCAAGUAGCGUGAAGGAUGACUGCCCUAUGGGUUGUAAACUUCUUUUAUAUGGGAAUAAAAUGUUCCACGUGUGGGAUUUUGUAUGUACCAUAUGAAUAAGGAUCGGCUAACUCCGUGCCAGCAGCCGCGGUAAUACGGAGGAUCCGAGCGUUAUCCGGAUUUAUUGGGUUUACAGGGAGCGUAGGUGGAUUGUUAAGUCAGUUGCGAAAGUUUGCGGCUCAACCGUAAAAUGGCAGUUGA
This 299-nucleotide ribosomal RNA is filed under the name uncultured bacterium. RNAcentral describes it as "partial 16S ribosomal RNA". It matches the Rfam family "Bacterial small subunit ribosomal RNA", at positions 334 to 630 of the family's 1533-position model. The record is from RNAcentral.